AUAAAAGACAAAAUUGAAACCCAAAAAUCUGCUCAUUCUCUUCUCCAUGCUGCCGAAACUUUCAGCAAGCCAUGUCUAGGGUUUCAAGCUUUUUCAAAGUUCAAUUAUCAAAGAAAUCGAGAUUUGGACCAAAUACGGGGAAAUGUCAAUCAAAAUAAUCGACUCACGUUGAGUAUCGCCAAGUUAGCUCGGGAAUCGGUGGACGUCGGAGAUUUGCUCACACUAUCAAUUAGAACACUUGGUAUAUCUAGGUACAUAAAUUUUUGGGUUACGGCAUGUAUAGUAGGUUUGGUCGUUUUGUCAUAUAUGUCAUAUUUCUUAUGGCCUAAAAUGUUGACCCUUAUUUAAUAAAUGUUCUUUUUGAUUAAGGCUAUUUGGAGAUGGCCAAUACGCCUAUGAUAUGGUUAUUCAUGUAUGUGGUAAUUGUAUAAUUGAAUGUUGUGGAGGUGGUUUACAAAUGAUUUCAUGAAUGACGAUGUGUAUGGGAAUGUGAAUGUAAAAUUGGAUA
Molecule: long non-coding RNA, 508 nt
Organism: Gossypium raimondii (Peruvian cotton)
Lineage: Eukaryota; Viridiplantae; Streptophyta; Magnoliopsida; Malvales; Malvaceae
Exons: 3
Source: RefSeq, a predicted model, not a curated record